AGGUACCAGCAAUAUCACUAGUGACAAAUGAGUCUACUCUUCAUGUUGAUGAUAUAUUGUCUGUCAUCCAGUCCACUUUUUGUGAGCUUCAAGGCCCAGAUCAUUGUUGGUUAAAUAGAGUUGAAGGAGAAAAAGAUUGCUUCAAGGAAGAUGGAACCUUUUUGGUUCUUGCUGGACAAUUCUUUGAGAAUUCUCAAAUAGUUCUUAUGAUUGAAAAAAUCAAGUCACUUCAGCGGA
RNAcentral lists this unclassified non-coding RNA (237 nucleotides) under Hevea brasiliensis (rubber tree). The record is from RNAcentral. Lineage: Eukaryota; Viridiplantae; Streptophyta; Magnoliopsida; Malpighiales; Euphorbiaceae.